RNAcentral lists this ribosomal RNA (523 nucleotides) under Lanistes ovum. RNAcentral's name for it is "partial large subunit ribosomal RNA". It matches the Rfam family "Bacterial large subunit ribosomal RNA", at positions 1832 to 2606 of the family's 2925-position model. The record is from RNAcentral. Lineage: Eukaryota; Metazoa; Mollusca; Gastropoda; Architaenioglossa; Ampullariidae.
UGAAAAAAAUUUUAUAGGGAGUCUUACCUGCCCAGUGAUAUAAUUUUAACGGCCGCGGUACUCUGACCGUGCAAAGGUAGCAUAAUCAUUUGCCUUGUAAUUGAAGGCUAGUAUGAAAGGUUUAAUGAGAGCUAAGCUGGCUCCUGUUAAUUAAAAUGAAAUUGUUUUUUAGGUGCAAAAACCUAGAUUGAACUAAAAGACAAGAAGACCCUAUUGAGCUUUAAAAAUCAUAUGCUGUGUAAUAUUACAGCCUAGCUGAAUUUUAGUUCAUUUAUUUUUUUAGUUGGGGCGACUCUGGAACAAAUAAAACUUCCAGUAAUUUUUAGAAUGCUUUUAAAGAUUUAUUUAACUGUGAUCCUGUUUUGAUUAAUAGAAUAAGUUACCAUAGGGAUAACAGCAUAAUCUUUUUUGAGAGUUCUAAUCGAAAAAAAGGUUUGUGACCUCGAUGUUGGACUAGAAUAUCCUAAGGGUGCAGAAGUUCUUAAAGGUUGGUCUGUUCGACCAUUAAAAUUCUACGUGAUCU